AUAUUGCACAAUGGGCGCAAGCCUUAUGCAGCGACGCCGCGCGGGGGAUGACGGCCUUCGGGUUGUAAACUCCUUUCGCUAGGGACGAAGCGCUUUCGUGACGGUACCUGGAGAAGAAGCACCGGCUAACUACGUGCCAGCAGCCGCGGUAAUACGUAGGGUGCGAGCGUUGUCCGGAAUUACUGGGCGUAAAGAGCUCGUAGGUGGUUUGUCGCGUCGUUUGUGUAAGCCCGCAGCUUAACUGCGGGACUGCAGGCGAUACGGGCAUAACUUGAGUGCUGUAGGGGAGACUGGAAUUCCUGGUGUAGCGGUGGAAUGCGCAGAUAUCAGGGGGAACACCGAUGGCGAAGGCAGGUCUCUGGGCAGUAACUGACGCUGAGGAGCGAAAGCAUGGGGAGCGAACAG
This 405-nucleotide ribosomal RNA is filed under the name uncultured bacterium. RNAcentral describes it as "bacterial SSU rRNA". It matches the Rfam family "Bacterial small subunit ribosomal RNA", at positions 361 to 775 of the family's 1533-position model. The record is from RNAcentral.